UCAAGUUUCUAAGAGCAGACGGUGGAUGCCUUGGCAUCUGGAGCCGAAGAAGGACGUAGCAAUCUGCGAUAAGCCUCGGGGAGUCGAUAAGCAGACUUUGAUCCGAGGAUUUCCGAAUGGGGAAACCCCGUCAGGCGUACUUGUACGACCUGAUGACUCCCGCCUGAAUAUAUAGGGCGGGUAGAGGGAACGUGGGGAAGUGAAACAUCUCAGUACCCACAGGAAGAGAAAACAACAGUGAUUCCGUUAGUAGUGGCGAGCGAACCCGGAACAGGCCAAACCGAUCAUGUGUGAUAGCCGGCAGGCGUUGCAUGGUCGGGGUUGUGGGACCUUCACGUACUUCUGCCGAAGUACACGUCGACUUGCGCGAUAUAGGUGAACGGCAUUGAAAGGCCGACCAUAGUGGGUGCCAGUCCCGUAACCGAAAUGUCGUGCAGAGGCGGAAGGGAUCCCAAGUAUCACGGGGCCCGAGAAAUCCCGUGUGAAUCUGCCAGGACCACCUGGUAAGCCUAAAUACUCCCAGAUGACCGAUAGCGGACAAGUACCGUGAGGGAAAGGUGAAAAGUACCCCGGGAGGGGAGUGAAAUAGUACCUGAAACCGUCUGCUUACAAACCGUUGGAGGGGCCCUAGUAGCCCUGACAGCGUGCCUUUUGAAGAAUGAGCCUGCGAGUUAGUGGUAUGUGGCGAGGUUAACCCGUGAGGGGAAUCCGUAGCGAAAGCGAGUUCGAAUAGAGCGAUUCAGUCGCAUGCCCUAGACCCGAAGCGAAGUGAUCUAUCCAUGGCCAGGUUGAAGCGACGGUAAGACGUCGUGGAGGACCGAACCCACUUGGGUUGAAAACCGAGGGGAUGAGCUGUGGAUAGGGGUGAAAGGCCAAUCAAACUUCGUGAUAGCUGGUUCUCUCCGAAAUGCAUUUAGGUGCAGCGUUGCGUGUUUCUUGCCGGAGGUAGAGCUACUGGAUGGCCGAUGGGCCCUACAAGGUUACUGACGUCAGCCAAACUCCGAAUGCCGGUAAGUGAGAGCGCAGCAGUGAGACGGUGGGGGAUAAGCUUCAUCGUCGAGAGGGAAACAACCCAGACUACCGACUAAGGCCCCUAAGCGUGUGCUAAGUGGGAAAGGAUGUGGAGUUGCAGAGACAACCAGGAGGUUGGCUUAGAAGCAGCCACCCUUGAAAGAGUGCGUAAUAGCUCACUGGUCAAGUGAUUCCGCGCCGACAAUGUAACGGGGCUCAAGCACACCGCCGAAGUCGUAGGAUUCGCAUUAUAGGUAGGCCUUCGUGGUCCAGCCGUGCGGAUCGGUAGGAGAGCGUCGUGUGGCGAGUGAAGCGGCGGGGUGACCCAGCCGUGGACGCCACACGAGUGAGAAUGCAGGCAUGAGUAGCGAAAGACAUGUGAGAAACAUGUCCUCCGAAAGACCAAGGGUUCCAGGGUCAAGCUAAUCUUCCCUGGGUAAGUCGGGACCUAAGGCGAGGCCGACAGGCGUAGUCGAUGGACAACGGGUUGAUAUUCCCGUACCGGCGAAGAACCGCCCAAGCUAAUCCAGUAGUGCUAAGAGUCCUAAUCCGGCAGAUGGAUCCCUUCGGGGUGAAGCAGCCGGCCUAACGCUCGACCCCAUGCUGGUGCGGCUAGCGUAUUAACAGGUGUGACGCAGGAAGGUAGCCCAAGCCGGGCGAUGGUUGUCCCGGUGCAAGUGCGUAGGCUGAGAGAUAGGCAAAUCCGUCUCUCGUGACGGCCGAGACACGAUGCGGACCCGAAAGGGAUAGUGGGUGAUCCUAAGCUGCCAAGAAAAGCAUCGACGCGAGGUUCCAGCCGCCCGUACCCCAAACCGACUCAGGUGGUCAGGUAGAGAAUACCAAGGAGAUCGAGAGAAUCGUGGUUAAGGAACUCGGCAAAAUGCCCCCGUAACUUCGGGAGAAGGGGGGCCGGAUUGGUGACGGGAUUUACUCCCUGAGCCUUGAAGGCCGCAGAGACCAGUGGGAAGCGACUGUUUACUAAAAACACAGGUCCGUGCUAAGUCGCAAGACGAUGUAUACGGACUGACGCCUGCCCGGUGCUGGAAGGUUAAGAGGAGCGGUUAGCGUAAGCGAAGCUGCGAAUUUAAGCCCCAGUAAACGGCGGUGGUAACUAUAACCAUCCUAAGGUAGCGAAAUUCCUUGUCGGGUAAGUUCCGACCUGCACGA
RNAcentral lists this ribosomal RNA (2178 nucleotides) under marine metagenome. Its description in RNAcentral is "bacterial LSU rRNA". It matches the Rfam family "Bacterial large subunit ribosomal RNA", at positions 3 to 1995 of the family's 2925-position model. The record is from RNAcentral.